GCCGGCGUAGCUCAGUUGGUUAGAGCGAUGGACUCAUAAGCCAUAGGUCAGAGGUUCAAAUCCUCUCGCCGGUA
RNAcentral lists this transfer RNA (74 nucleotides) under Candidatus Moranbacteria bacterium RIFCSPHIGHO2_02_FULL_40_12b. RNAcentral describes it as "tRNA-Met". It matches the Rfam family "tRNA". From Rfam's summary of the family: Transfer RNA (tRNA) molecules are approximately 80 nucleotides in length. Their secondary structure includes four short double-helical elements and three loops (D, anti-codon, and T loops). Lineage: Bacteria; Candidatus Moraniibacteriota. RNAcentral also lists the same sequence under 5 other names. The record is from RNAcentral.